GGGUCGUUAGCUCAGUUGGUAGAGCAGUUGACUUUUAAUCAAUUGGUCGCAGGUUCGAGUCCUGCACGACCCA
This is a non-coding RNA of Trabulsiella guamensis ATCC 49490, 73 nucleotides long. The record is from Rfam. Lineage: Bacteria; Pseudomonadati; Pseudomonadota; Gammaproteobacteria; Enterobacterales; Enterobacteriaceae.